CCUACGGGAGGCAGCAGUGAGGAAUCUUGGUCAAUGGACGAGAGUCUGAACCAGCCAAGUAGCGUGAAGGAUUACUGCCCUAUGGGUUGUAAACUUCUUUUAUGUGGGAAUAAAAUGUUCCAAGAGUGGCAUUUUAUGUGUACCAUAUGAAUAAUGUGCGGCUAACUCCGUGACAGCAGCCGCGGUAAUACGGAGGAUCCGAGCGUUAGCCGGAUUUAUUGGGUUUAAAGGGCGCGUAGGUGGGUUGGUAAGUCAGGUGUGAAAGGUUGCGGCUCAACCGGAACAUUGCAGUUGAUACUGGCAGUCUUGAGUAGAGGAGAGGUGAGCGGAAUUCGUGGUGUAGCGGUGAAAUGCGUAGAUAUCGCGAAGAACACCGAUGGCGAAGGCAGGUCACUGGACUGCAACUGACACUGAGGCUCGAAGGUGUGGGUAGCGAACAGGAUUAGAUACCCCUGUAGUC
This 460-nucleotide ribosomal RNA is filed under the name uncultured bacterium. RNAcentral's name for it is "partial 16S ribosomal RNA". It matches the Rfam family "Bacterial small subunit ribosomal RNA", at positions 338 to 795 of the family's 1533-position model. The record is from RNAcentral.